RNAcentral lists this transfer RNA (73 nucleotides) under Camelus bactrianus (Bactrian camel). It matches the Rfam family "tRNA". Rfam says of the family: Transfer RNA (tRNA) molecules are approximately 80 nucleotides in length. Their secondary structure includes four short double-helical elements and three loops (D, anti-codon, and T loops). RNAcentral also lists the same sequence under 1 other name. The record is from Rfam by way of RNAcentral. Lineage: Eukaryota; Metazoa; Chordata; Mammalia; Artiodactyla; Camelidae.
GAGGGUAUAGCUCAGGGGUAGAAUGCGUGCCUAGCAAGCACGAGGUCCUGAGUUCUAAUCCCCAGUACCUCCA